RNAcentral lists this long non-coding RNA (5316 nucleotides) under Sus scrofa (pig). RNAcentral describes it as "lncRNA (ENSSSCG00060026789.1)". Lineage: Eukaryota; Metazoa; Chordata; Mammalia; Artiodactyla; Suidae. The record is from RNAcentral.
AUGUGUGCCUUUUGGGAUUUGAGAAUAUGUGUUUGUAUACUUCUAUUAUUUCAGUAGUAAAUUUGAGAAAAUGAAUAUAAAAUUCUGAUGAGAAAUUUAGAAUGUCCUUUUUGUAUAGUUAUUAUAAUUGCCAUGACUUUGGCCAGGUGUAGCUAAACGAUAUUUCAGGCAAAGAACUAAUAGCAAAGCUUUUUACACAGUAAUUUCCUGGGUAAGGUUCAACAAAAUGAAAACUCAUCAGAAGCCCUGCUGGGAUUCCAUCAGCAAGCAUUUAUUUGUAGUUGCAUGUACACCUGCUUACAUAGUAAUAAUACAUUAGUGAGUUAAGUCACUAUGCCAAUGCAAAUUAGCUUUAUUGUGAAUCUAACAUUGGAAUCUAGCAGAUAUGCUAACCAGACAAUCGAAUCGCUACUAGGUUAUGAGUUGGAAAAAAAAUUCUAUAGAAUUUGCCCAUUUGUUUCUUUUGAUUAUAGAUAUCUUUUUAUGAAAAACUUUUCCUUCUCUAGCUUCUACCAUUUAGAUGAGGAAUUUAUAGUAUAUGCCUUGCUCCAUUAGUGCAGCAAUAUUGAGCAAUAUAAGCAUGCCAUCUGCAAUACGAUGUUUUAACCCAAGAGAUCCCGUGUUGCUAAAUUCAAACUUAAAAUCAACUCAGCAAAUAUUUAAAGGAACAACUCUGUCAGGCAUUAUGCUAGGUGCUAGAGAUAGGGGCAGAACCUUAAAGGUGAGCAGCAAUACCUCCUGAUUCAAGAGAAUUCUGAAACAGUAGUGGAGAUAAGAUAAACACUCGUAAUACUCUAUGGCCAAGCACAAAAUUUGAAAACCACAAAAAAGCCAUAAGUUGAUAGAGAAGAGGAGUAAUGAACCCAAAGUCACUGUAAUCAGGAAAGGAGAUGUCUUGUCAGAUAGACAAGAUGUCUUGUCUAAUAGGAUUUAAAUACGUUAGUGAAGAUGGAAGAAGAUCAGUCCUUUAAUACGGUGGUUCCCACAUGGAGUAAAGGGAAAAACCUGGGCAAGAGGAAAGCAUGUUUGAGUAAACAACCAGGAGUUACGUUUAACUGGAGUGUUUUAUGCUGGAUCUACAUGGAGGCAGGGCAAGAUAAGCCUAGAAAGGGAAAAUCAUAUAAAAAAGAAGCAGACUCACAGAUAAAGAGAAUAAACUAGUGGUUACCAGUGAGGGGAGGGGAGGGAAGAAGAGCAACACAGGGGUAGGGAAAGGGGGUAAUCAUGGGAUUAUAGGAAAUUAUAUUUGUGAAACUUUUGAAAAUUAUAAAGCACUAUAGAAUUUAAAGAAUCUUUCAUUCAAUUAAACAAAUCAAUUUAAAAAAAGCUUAUGUCAUGCAAGGCACUCAGGUUGAGAAAUUAUGAAUUCAUUCUGUAGACAACAGUUUUUUAUUGAGAUUUUUUUCUGAUUUUUUUUUUUUUUUAGUAAAGGGGUUAUGUGUUCAGAAUUUUUAGACUGUUAACUCAAAAUUUUGUAAGGACCCCUUUCUAGCCCAGAUAUACAUCAUUUCUUGCUGUAAAUAUUCUAGCUGUGUUUACUCAAAGAAACAUGAAAGAGAUUUAUACCAGCAUCAUCUGAAUUUGCUUAUUACAUGAAAUUAACCUUACCACUUAUUUUCUCACUCCUCUCUUUGGUGAUGUAUUGGUUUCCUAAGGCUGCUGUAUGAAGAACUACAAACUAGGUGGCUUUAAACAAUGGAAAUUUAUUCUCUCACAAUGUGGAGUCCAGAAGUCCAAAAUCAAGGUGUUGACAGGAUUGGUUCCUUGUGAAGGGCCUGAGAGAGAAUUUGUUCUGUGCCUCUCUUCUAGCGUCUGGUGACAACCAGCAAUCCUGGGCAUUCCUGAGCUUGUACUGCAUCAUUCCAAUCUCUGCCUCCAUCUUCACAUGGCAUUUUCCCCAGAUCUCUUUGUCCUAUGUCCAAAUGUUCCUCCUCUUCUUCUUUUUCUUUUUUUCUUUGUUUCUUUUUUUUUUUUUUUCUUUUUAGGGCCUCACUUGUGGCAUAUGGAAGUUCCCAGGCUAGGGGCUAAAUCAGAGAUACAACUGCCGGCCUAUGCCACAGCCACAGCAAAAUGCAAUUCUGCCGUGUCUGUGACCUACACCACAGCUCAUGGCAACUCUGGUCCUUAACCCACUGAGGGAGGCCAGGGGUUGAACCAGCAUCCUCACAGAUACUAGUUGGGUUCUUUACUACUGAGCCACAAUGGGAACGCCCCAAAUUUUCCUCUUCUUAUAAGGACAUCAAUUACAUUGGAUUAAGGCCCAUUCCAAAGACAGCAUCCAAACUUGAUUAAACCUGCAAAGACCGUAUUUUCAAAUAAAGUGACAUUCACAUGUGCUGAGGAUUAGUAUUUCAGAAUAUCUUUUUUUGGGAGGAGGCAAAAUUCAACCUAUUAUAGGUGGUUAAGCCAUAGAUACAUAGAUAGUUAGAUAAUAGAUGAUAGGUAGGUAGAUAGAUAGAUAUGUAGUAAAGAAUUAAUAUUCUUAUAAACAAGCCUCAGUUUUUAUCUAUACAACAGAUAUAAUAAAACUGCCCUCAUAUGAUUGCUGUGAGGAUGAAAUAUGUGAACGAAUCUAGCAUGAGGCAGAAUUAGCUAUAUGGUUGAUGCUUGUAUUAAUAACUCAGGUAACUAUUUUCAGGUAGUAGUUACCUAACUCAGGUAACUAUUUUCAGAAGUAGUUUCAGGAAAGGAUUUUCACUGUGUUCUAUAUAUCUAUACGAUUCUAAAUACCACAUGUCAUCAAUUUAAAACAAAGCUUUAAGUCUCAUGGAUAUGGCCAAAAGAAGUACAUGAUUCAGAAAAGGCAUUAGGUUGCACUAGAACUUUCUUUAGCCUUGGAGUAUUCUACUAGAGAACAAAUAUAUAGAAUACUUGCAAAGUUAAUGUCUGGGGAUUCUGUUUUCCCCCUCUGUAAUAGUCCUAACUGUAUUUACACCAUAAGGCAGCAUUAGAUUUUUGGCUAAUUGCUGAAUUAGAUAAAUCUGGUGGCUUACGGCUUUCUUCUAUUUUCUUCUCUCACUAUUGGAUGUUUGGCUUUUAACGUUCUGGACAAUCACCUGUACUUCCCACUUUUCUUUGCCAAUUGGCACCAGCACAUUCAAAGUUAAAUUUAAUGCAAAGACAUCAUCUGGCACAUUUCUCUAAUCUCAAAAAGGUAAAUUCCCAAACCUCAGUUGAAGUAUUUCUAUUUUAGCCUGAAUUUUCAAGAUAAUUGCCUCCUCAUGUCUCCACUUAAUUUGGCUUGUGCAGAUACAAUCACAUGAACAAAUACAUGUUAAUGGAAAGCCUUCUUAGCUGUCAGUGAGUUGGACAUCCAUUGGGGAUGGUAUAUGGGAGCUCUGGAAUUUAUAAUCCUUUCCACUCUGCCAUUAAUUAAAAGUGCCCCAGAGACAGAUUGGGAGUGACCCAGGGUGAAGGGGUUGAAGGUUAAGCCUUUUAGCUUUGAGCCUCCAGUUUGAAUCUGAUCUAAGCUGGUAAUAAAUAAGAGCUACUGCUAUUUGAUAUCAGUUUGGUGAAUCAUGUGAAAUGAAUUAGUAAUCUCAGGCUUGUUCUGGUGGACAGGUGUCCUCAUACAGUGGGAGCUGAUAGCCUUUGCAGAAGAACACAACAACCUAAAAAAGAUGGAAAUAAAAUGGCUUCACAAAUAUUCUCUUACCUUGCUAAGAUUGCUGUUCAGUAACAUGGAAAAGUAAGAAACCUUAGGAUUCCAUAUGCCCAGCUUGUAAAUGGCUAUGGGAAUAAAAGGGAUCAGGAUGGGCUUAAUAAGACCCAGAGAGUGGGUCAAAUGGGAAUCAGGUGGUGGGUCUAAGAGAAAUUUAAUAUCCUUGGCUUCUCAUUUUUUCCCCCUUUCUGUUUGGUUGUCAUGGGAAUCUGUAUUUGUGGAAGAAAUACUGACUGCAUUUGCCCAGGGCAGAUGUAUGUACCCUCUAGCCUUCAAAUUUAGCAUUACUAGGACAGAAGGAUUUGUGGCUGGAUAGAAUGAAGGCGAGUCAUACCGGUAAUUCUGGCAGGCAAAAUAAAACAUUGCAAGCAUUAAAAAAAAUUUUUUUUUUCCAAAAGAUAUCAUGUACUGAAUUGAAAUAAGAUCAAAACUUGUUUUACUAAACUGAGGAAGGCUAUUUAGAGCUUAGUUUAACUCAAAUUUUGUUAUUAGGAUUAAUCCAGUAGUACUUUCACCCAUCUUUUAAAUGUAUAUUGAGGAAGAACUGCAUUUUUUUUUUAAUAAUAGAAAAAAAAAAAUGGGGCAGCCCUGAGGAAUUAAGUGGAGGAAAAAGACAUCCAACCUUCAAUGUACUUAACUUUAUUUUUCUUUUUGUGAAAGAAAAUAUGAAUCAUUAAUAUCAACUACAUCUUGCUGGUUUUAGUAAGCUUCAACAGGCAAAAUGUACUAGUUCUUUCUGAAUCAGGUUUGUGAAGUUAUUUGUGCAUGUGUGUAUGUGGGUAUGUGAAGUACCAGCUUUGUGCAUAUACAAUAGUGCUAAAGAAAUCAUAAUGUUUUCCUUAGCACUUUUUAUCUGACAGAGUCUUUGAAAAUAAAUUCAUCAGAUUGUGGUGAGUAAUAUCUUUGGCUAAGAUCUAAACACUACAAACAUGAUGAACCUAUGAAUAUGUUUUCUUGAUUUUCUUCUUUAAAAUGUCUUAACUUGCUAUUGUUCCUCUUUGUAACUCAUCCCAAACCAAGUAAUUCCAUUUUGUUUCUGUUUGUUUAGUGAUUACAUCAUGUUGCCAUUAUAAAAGAGUCCCAUUACCUGAGUCUGGAACUUUUAAAAACUCCUUUUUCCGUCUCUUCAUCCCCCCAUCCUGGCAAACUGCUCUUUCAUUUCCUGCCAGGUAGAUAAUCUAAUAAAUGCUUUCACAUCAAAGGUUAAUACCUGAUUAUGGAUUAAAUAUGAAAGCUGAGCCACAUUGAAUAGUCUGUAUUUGUUUCUGACAUAGAAUAGUAGUUUCUUCAUAUGGUUCCGCCUAUGACUCCUUAAUUUGCAUUUAAGAACAAAACUGCAUUGGUUUCUCAUGGUAAAAUUAGGGGAUUAGAGUCAUGGCAGUCAGUGACAACAAUAGUUUGGGGAAUAGAAAUCCUUUACUGAGAGUUCCCAUCAUGGCUCAGUGGAAGGGAACCCAACUAGUAUCCUUGAGGACCCAGGUUCGAUCCACGGCCUUGCUCAGUGGGUUAAGGAUCCGGCCUUGGUUGCCAUGAGCUGUGGUGUGAGUCACAGACGUGGCUGUGGCAUAAGCCAGGAGCUACAGCACCGAUUCAACCCCUAUCCUGGGAACUUCCAUAGACUGAGAGUUCAGCCCUAAAAAGACACACACACACAC